UUCCGGUUGAUCCCGCCGGACCCGACUGCUAUCGGAUUGAGACUAAGCCAUGCAAGUCAACUCGCAAGGGUGGCGGACGGCUCAGUAACACGUAGUCAAUCUGCCCUAGGGACGUGGAUAACCACGGGAAACUGUGGCUAAACCGCGAUAGGCCAUAGCUCCUGGAAUGGGCUGUGGCUCAAACCUAUAUGGCCCUAGGAUGAGACUGCGGCCGAUCAGGCUGUUGGUGGGGUAAUGGCCCACCAAACCUAUAACCGGUACGGGCUCUGAGAGGAGGAGCCCGGAGAUGGGCACUGAGACAAGGGCCCAGGUCCUAUGGGACGCAGCAGGCGCGAAACCUUCGCAAUAGGCGAAAGCCCGACGAGGUCAGUCCGAGUGGCUCCUGAAAGAACCUUUUGCCAGCCCUAAACANNCUG
RNAcentral lists this ribosomal RNA (416 nucleotides) under uncultured archaeon. RNAcentral describes it as "bacterial SSU rRNA". It matches the Rfam family "Archaeal small subunit ribosomal RNA", at positions 1 to 430 of the family's 1478-position model. The record is from RNAcentral.